CUGAGUGACAGACUGACUCAAUAAUGUGGACAUGUCUCGACUGACUGAAUGCAGCACCGCAAUCUGUAACUUACUCUGUUUAGAACGGGAGAAGUUGUUGUGCUAUAUAUUUUAUUUUAAAGACUGCAGAAAGGUGGAAAAGAAGCAAAUAUAGAUCGCUGCAAUUUGCUGAAACGUGGACGUGCGCUAGCCAUUCCAUGUCAGACUCAGCGUGGCCAUGAUGAACCUGUGCCCAAAGAAGUAACAAUGAUGGCUCUUCUGCAACAACAUCCCAAAUUCCCCAACAUCAUUCAAAUGUUUGAGUGGUUUGGUUUGACUACUCAGAUCAUAUAAGAAUUGUUAUGGAGUACCCUUGCCCCUGCACCGUACUGAAAACAUGACUUAAUAAUCAUGCUUUCAACAACGAAAAAAUCAGGCAACACAAGCAGUGUAAUACUGCCUUGACCAUGGGGUUUUCCACAGCGACAUUCACGCAUGCAACAUACUGGUCAACCCAAGCACCACAGAUAUCAAUCUGAACAACGUGCGAGAAAGAGAAGGGACAAAAAGAUCGUUGUCUUUGAAUAUGGAAUGCCAUAAAGCGUCCCUUCGGUCUACAGCGUAUGGUGAAAAAGUUGCAAGAUGAGCUCAUCCCAUCAUGUGCUUAUUGUCUCGAGCUGACUGAUAAAAAAUGAAAGUCUCUCUAUGAAGAAGGACAUUAUCAAGAACAAGGAGCCUUUGGAAGAGUCUUUGUGUCACAGUUUACAGUGUAUAGAUUGUCAUUUAAUCUUUUGUUAUAAUCAUUGUUUUCUUCAUUAGAGGUUGCUGUCAAAGUCAUAAACAAACGUGAAAAUGACCUGUAUCUAACUAUUGUAAGUUCUUUGAAUAUAGUGAUUUUCUAUUUAGUUAUUUAAUUGCCUGUGAUAUGAUACAAUUAGCAUUAACCUGUAGUUAACAAGUAGACACAAUUUGCUUACUAUGCCUUAAAAGAACAUGCUGUUAUAGAACAUUUUAAUUUCCAAUAAUAUUUAGUACGUAUGGUAUGUGAAUUUGGACGCAGGGAUAAAAAUAGACUGAAGCAGACAAUAUAGCCUAGAUUCCCACAGAGCUUUGAUUGUAUCUGAAAGAAUAAAAUUGAACGUCUAUCA
Long non-coding RNA from Triplophysa rosa, 1127 nucleotides. RefSeq lists it as uncharacterized. The transcript is spliced from 3 exons. The record is from RefSeq and is a predicted model, not a curated record. NCBI's taxonomy places the organism in Eukaryota, Metazoa, Chordata, Actinopteri, Cypriniformes, Nemacheilidae.